Molecule: long non-coding RNA, 1106 nt
Organism: Zeugodacus cucurbitae (melon fly)
Lineage: Eukaryota; Metazoa; Arthropoda; Insecta; Diptera; Tephritidae
Exons: 3
Source: RefSeq, a predicted model, not a curated record
CAAUGCCGAUGCUGUUUUUGUGAUUGAUGCCGAUUCCAAGGCCGAUUAAUCGGUCGGACUCUAAUUCAACGUACAUAUAUUAAAUUGAUAAUAGUCAAAAAUCUGUUCACACUUUUGAUCGCUUUCUUACAGUGUCGGUCAAAUAUUAACGUUUCACACGAGAAAAAGUUACAAACAAACAAACAAGCAAGCAAACAUACAAGUGAAGCACAUCAUGGAUGAAAUAACCGUUGAAAAUCUAAAUAGUGGCGGAAGAAAGGAAUGCAAACCGAAUAAUAUAUUUUGGAGACUUUUAUAGUGUGAUCCUCGUUUUAAUUUUCAAGGCUCUACCAUGUUGUCUUCACAACAGAAAAUAAAGACCGAGACAUUGAAUUACCAAAACACCAACAUGCUGUGUACUGAUUGUUUGUCUUCUACAUCGAGCAACACUUUUAUCGGAAGGCUGAAUGUAGCAGUUCCACCACUUUGUUAAAUUUAAUAGUCCAUUUUUCAAAUUUUGAUGAUAUUAUGGAUUACGACGAGAUUAGUGGAUCUGAAGAAACCGCUAACUGAAGAAACAAUAAGUACAAAAGAUCUUUCAUUGCAGUCAUUCUAUAAUUAUAAUUGGUCGGGAAGUAAUGAAAAUUUUUUUUGCAUGGAAUAGGUACUGUAUUAUCACAUUCGACAUUUUUUUUUUUAAUUUUUGAUACCUCGGCUACCAUCACCUCUUUGCACGGACAUAAAUCAACAAUUGUUGGCAUCGUACUUAAGUGUACUUCUUGCAGUAACAAAUGACUUAACUGGACGUCCAGAUGACAUAUUCGAUGGUAAAAUCCAAGACAGAUUGUCAGAAUGGCAAACCAAUUCUGAUUUUCAAUGGUGCCGCCGAAACUGAUUAGAUUUUCAUCUUUUCGAAUAUAAGAAAAACCAAUAUUCGAAUCAACUGUGCUACUAUUUAUUCAUGGGGCAAAAUUAUCAAAACAAAUUUUUUUGGAAAUUUUUUUAAAUUUAAUCACAUAAUUACCUCAAAAUAUUAAAACUGAAAAAUGGAAUUAAAAUGAAAAGUUAUUUCAGCUUUUAUUUUAAGAUUUUAUGUUAAGAUUAAACCAUAAUUAUAAGUGUUUUAA